UACGUAGGGUGCGAGCGUUGUCCGGAAUUAUUGGGCGUAAAGAGCUUGUAGGCGGUCUGUCGCGUCUGCUGUGAAAAUCCGGGGCUCAACCCCGGACUUGCAGUGGGUACGGGCAGACUAGAGUGUGGUAGGGGAGACUGGAAUUCCUGGUGUAGCGGUGAAAUGCGCAGAUAUCAGGAGGAACACCGAUUGCGAAGGCAGCUCGCUGGAACGUUACUGACGCUGAGACGCGAAAGCGUGGGGAGCAAACAGG
This 253-nucleotide ribosomal RNA is filed under the name uncultured bacterium. RNAcentral describes it as "partial 16S ribosomal RNA". It matches the Rfam family "Bacterial small subunit ribosomal RNA", at positions 524 to 776 of the family's 1533-position model. The record is from RNAcentral.